GCUUUGUUAGCUGUCUGCUCUCUGGCGUCAAGUGAUUUCUUCCUAAACCGGCUGCCCCCAAGGAUAUAACAAGUGGCGACGAGGAUGGGAUACCGGUGCUGCCCCAGCAACAGAAGGAAGUAGAAGUCAAGUAGAUUUCCUCAUCUUGGCAAGUGGAUAUCCCAAGAGUGCACUCUGCCCUAUCACAUCAGAACUUGCCACAACACCAGCAGGUUUUUUUCCCCUAUAUACUUCAACUGAGUGGUAGGUUAAUUAGUCAGCUGACUAGUUAACUGAAUAAUUUCAACAGAGGAGGAGGAGGAAGAGUCUGCAUGGAAUCCAGUUGGAAGUUUCUAGAAGACACUGGAAGACAAGAGAAGAGAAGAUAUUGUUGCAGUGUUUUUGACUGAACAGACUAUAGAUUUUGGUCAGCCAAGACUGUAACUGAGACUCAUGUGAACUCAACCUAAGCUUUUGGGAACUCUGAGUUACUUCUCCCUGUGUUUCUCUAGCAACUGACCUGUUUAGAUUUAAUUUGUUUUCUUUAUUUAUGUUUACGUGUAACUGAGGAGAUAGUAUAUGGAUUAUGAAGUAGUCUUAUGUUAUAGAAAUUAAGUUAUUAUUUUUCUGUUUCUUUAUCAUUAUAAGAUUUUAUGAAGUUGGUAUUUAAGAAUUAAGUUACGGUAAUUCAUUUUGCUCUUUUUGGACUUAAUUGUAGGGAGGCUGACCCUGUGCAAUCCUUGCUGAAAAUCCUCAGUGACUGAAUUCUGGGUCUCCAUGUGCAUUACUAUGGGAGUUGGUUUUAGGCAGUAGGAAAAAGGCAGUGAAGUAAACUCUAGUCCACUCAAAGUUUACAAAUUGCACCUGAACAGACAAGGACUUGAGGAUUGCUCAGAGUUCACCUCUUAUUUCUUUUUGAGGAAUAUUGCAGCAGUUGCUUAUGAAAGAAUUUAGUGUUACUGAAUAUAGUAAUUGAAUUUGUACACUGUAUUAAUAUUGUUAAGAUAAUGGAAACUUGUGCACAAUUUGGGUUAGAUCACUAUGGGACCAUUUUGAUCAGUGACGUGUCCGCUCAUUGUACAGCAGAAGUUAAGAGGGCUGUUAGGAAUUUUGGUCAUGUAACUAAUAUAAGGCAGGUGAACAAAAAGAUAUGAUAUUUUUUUAAUUUGAAGACGCUGUGUCUGUGAUGCACAUAGGGAGGAACUGUGUGUUGUGGAAGCUAGAGCAGAAAUGGGAUGAGACUCAUAUUCAUUUUGAGGUUUUGCCAUUUAUAUCCACUGGUUCUGUGCCCAGAGUACCUCAGUGCAGGGAUCAGGGAUAUUCACUGUAUUUUGACACAGGGUUCAAGACUGGGACACAGGAUGUGGUUACACUUGUGGGUGAUAGACUAGGUGGUUAACAGAUUCUACACCUGUUACGGACGGAGGUCCAGUAGGAGUUUCUGCGCCUGCUGUGAGUCUCCCUCUUGACAUGCAACAUCUUUGUUAGAUCAGGUGCUGAAAUCUACCAGUGGAACUGUGACUGAUGUGGAAUUUAAACUGAAAUGUUUUUUGGUAAUUCACCCAGACCCCGUGGAGAAAUAGAUUAUUUUACCUGGUGAGCAUAAGUCAAAGUGAUAUAGAAGAUAAUGAAAUUUCUGACAUGGGUCCAAACCAUCGCAGUCGUCUUUCUUGAUUCUUCUGUAACAGCUUUAUUUCUUGCCUUAGCCAUUUUUUCUCUCUUCAUUUUUUAUUUUUGUAGUCUUUAAACUCUCAAGUAUUGUCUUCUGCCAGGUUCUAGUUCUUUGUCUCAGGGUUUGAUCUUUACCUCUUUCUCUUGUCUUCCAAUUGUCACAUUUUUUGUCUUCUCUCUUUUUAUCUUCCCAAUCUACCUUGUCAUUUAUUCUCUGUAAAUCCUCCUUGGUCAACGCAAUGAGGUCAAUAUCACCUGCGAAUCUAAAGUUAUGCUCUGUUCUACCACAUAAUAUGACUCCUCCUGUUUCAUCUCUCAAUGCUACAGCCAUUACUGCCCCCAGUACUCAGUUAAACAAAUCUGGUGAUAGCAUGCAUCCUUGUCUAACUCCUAUGGUCAUCCUGAACCAUUCCAUCUUGUGUACUCUCACCUUAUACACUGUCUUGUUGUAGAUGUUUUCUGUCAGCUUGAUCAGUUUUUUGGGCAUGCCCUACAUUCUUAUAACUUGCUACAACUCUUUCUGACAAAUGCUAUUGAAAGCCAUCUUGAAGUCCAUAAAGUAAUUGCAACAGGUUCAGUUGUGUUCUAUGUACUUCUCCAAUAUCUGUAUUAUCACAAAUAAGUGAUCUGUUGUACUUCAUCCUGGUCUGUAUCCUGUCGGUUCCUCUGUAAGUGCCACAUCUACAUAUCUCUUCAUUCACCUCAGCAAUGUCUUGGUGAAUGUUUCUCCCAGCACAUCCGGUAAUCUGAUUCCUUUGCAGUUCUUGCAUUCACUUUUACCUCCUUUUUUAUAGACUGGUUCUAUUAUCACUUUCCCCGAUUCAUUCAGCAUUUGCUCUUGUUCGUAAAUCUUGAUGGACAGUUUGUGCAUCACCUUUACUGUAUGUUCCUCACCUGCUUGCAGCACCUCUGUGGUUGUCAAUUCCCAGCACCUUUUUCUUUUAAACUUUCUAUUAGGAUCUUUAUUUCUUCUAAGAAUUUUGAUAUCUGCUGUCCCUCAUUUGUGCUGGGAAGUUUCUCCAGGACCACUUCAAUCUACUCAGGUUCUGCACAUUGUACAACUGUUCAAAAUUUCUUUCCAUUGCUUAUUCUUUGCUUGUUCAUCCUCAAUUACUUGUCCAUGAUUGUUUUUCAUCGCUGACAUCUUCACCUCAUGUCUCAUUCAGUUCUCUUAUCUUGUGAUACAACUGUGUUGUACUUCUCUUCACACAAUUUUCUGCUUUGUAUAUCCAGGUGUUUGUCUCUCUCUGCUUUCUGUUUGAUCUCUUUGGUCAGCCUUCUGUACUUAUCUCUUAGACUUACAACCUCCUAUUCUCCUUCAUCAUCCUAUGCUUGUCACGCAACUGCAGCACUUCAACCAUUAUCCAAUUGGUUUCUUUGUAGUCCAAUACUUGUUCAGUCACACUCAUAAUCCCAUUUCAUAUACUUUUACAUGUCUCGUCAACAGUCAUUUCUUCUUUCACCAAAGAUUUGCUGAGGACUUCACAUAUAUGUGUACUUUUAUAGCUGCACUGGAUUUGAUACUGAAUCUCGCUUUCAACAUAUGAGUAGAUAAAUGCCAUAAGAGGCUGGCUUACCUUUGGCUUUAGAACAAAUGUAACUCUGUCCUGGCAUCCACCAUUUUCUUUUCUUGAUGUCAUUAUCCUAUGUUCAUCAUGAUACAAUUCUCCUUCCCAACUCAUUUUGCAUAGACUGAUGAUUUCUCAUAAUGUUCAACUUAUGCAUCAUUACUGCAAGUGCUCCAGCCUGGAUCAACUUGUGAGCAGGCAUAACGCUGUCCUAACGGAUGGCUAUAAGCACAGUUGGCAAAAAGACUGUCCAUGAGCAUCACAUGGAAUUGUUUAUGGCACAGUAGUUAAGACAUUCAAAUUGCUGUCUGUUCUGAGUUAUGGGCCAGUGAAAACAAGCUAUCCGGCUAUUGAUGGAUCCACUUCCUAUAUACAUAUAUAUAUAAAAUGCUUGUUCAUCCACAUGAAGACAGUUCUGAGUCCUGGUGAAUUGGUGGUUAGUGUUUCAUGCAGCCGCACAUUGCCAUUUAUCAGUUCUUCUGGCUUCCCAUGAGAACUCUCCUGAGGUAACUGAAAUAAGGUUCUUUAUUGUAGCUGACUUUCUGAAGAACAGAACAACUUUGUGAGAACACAGUGCCCUGCAGAUUUAUGAGCGUUAAGAUGUACUGAGUGAUUGAUGUUAGAUUUUCAGAUGCUUUUUCUGGAUGUGGUGAAUUAUUGAUUGGAUUUGUUAUUCUCAGUCUCUUCACAGUUGACCCUGGGUCAAUUCAUUGUAGGGCAGGAUUUGUUUCACCAAAGUCCAUUACAGGAGUCAAAGAUGACCUUGUCUCCCCUUAAGGUCAGGUUCAGUUCUGUUUUCCAAAACAAUGUGAGAUAUUAUACAAGAAAGUAGUUUUUCCUCUAUACAAUCACAUUAAGGUACUCUUAGCAAUUCAUAUUGCUGCAGCUUAAUAAAUCAUUAUGAAGCAAUAAUUAUGUAAGCUGGUGCAACUCCUAUUGACUUCAUUAUGAUUCCUAUCCACUUACACCAGGGUUGAAUUUGGCUUAUAAUUUUAUUUUUCUUUAAAAUGCAGGGAAGGAGUGUAUGAGGGGAAGUCAGAGUAUUAUCAGGAGAAAGGCAUAGGAAGGGAAGGUAGAGGUAAUUGGUUUUGUGUCUUUCCAAUGAUUCUUCUGAAAAAGAAUGUAUCGUGUCUAUGGAUUUCAGCAUGCGUAGAAGAUAGGAAUAAGAAAAAAACAAUUUCAGGGGAAUUUUGGACAUUUCUGACCAGCUCAGAGUGGUGUCAUAUCUAUAAUAAUGGUACAUUAGUGUCCACAAAAUACACAGAUCAAACUGUUUUCUUUAUUUGUGAGUUUCAUUAUUCCAUUCCAUAAUAAAAAUAAGACAAUCCAGAAGCUAUCAGUAUAUUCGGGAAAUUAACAGAAGCCAGACUGGGAGUCAGGAAUCCUGAUACAUUUUCCUUACUCUUUACUGUUGUAUGACCUUAGGUAAGUUACUAAAGCGAAAAUUUCCCCCAAGUGUCCACAAAUGUUGAGUUUCUUGGUUUCAGGGUGCCUUAUUUAAGGCAUAUAGGGGCUCAUUAUCGGGGUGCUAAGCACCUACAGCUCCAUUUGAAGUCAGUGAAAGCUACAGGUGCUCAGUAUCUAUGAAAAUCAGAUUCUAAGUGUUUCAAGUUUAAACUCCCAAAAUUAAUGCACCCAGAAUUAGCAGACACUUCUGAAAAUUUUGGCUUAAACAUCUCUUGUGGCUCAGUUUCACACAUUUCUCAGAUUGGGAUAAUACUAACCUGACUUGGCGGGUUAUCUUGAGACUUAAUGAAUAUUAAUCAAGUACUUCAAAAUUAUCAUAAGAGAUUUACUAUAAAAGAGAAAAGUAGUAUUACCCUUCUCAGUUAAAGUCACGUGGUUUCUGACUACAUCCAGAUUACCAAGAAAAUCCAUCAUUCAGUCAGUCACUGCUGAUCGCAUACUAAAUAUAUUUAUGUACAAUUCUGACAAACUGACGGAGAUAUUGUGACACAAAGGUCUUCUGUAGAUAACUUGUUUUAAAUAACAAAAUCAUUUCCUUUUAUAUCAACUUCAUGUCACCUCAGCAAAGUAGAUGUAUUAUGCCAUUUUUGCUCAACUAUAUUGCUGAUAUGAUUAUUCUGCUUGAUUAUAAGCAUUGUUUUUAUUUUCUGUCCCCACAUUUGUUUUUCAUAGCUCAGCUCCUGCAGGAACCCUUGCUAUUUAUGUAUAGCUGGACAGCAUUGUCUAUAAAUAUAGUGUAAGGAAUACUCAUGCAUGAGUAAGGAGAUAAGCUAGAUGACCUAACCGGUCUUUUCUCUCUCUAAUUUCUAAGAUACUAUGAAUAUAAAGUGGUUCAGCUGCUCAGAUACUUUUCUUCCAUAAUCUCAUCUGUGAAAUAUAUUGUGAAGAGCUCUGGAUAGCUGUCCUAAUAAUCUGAUCAUUCAUCUUCUUUAGGAUUAUUUUCUCAUAAGAAGUAUGAGUAAUCCUGAUCCCAAAUCUUCAUGUUCCAUUUGAAAUGUAUUACUCCAGAGUUAAUUGCUCAGCAGCUUGACAGAAAUAUAUGGAUAGUAAAAUAAUUGAUGUGUAUUUCCCUAGAUCAUCAUUAUCCUCUUGCAUGUAUAGAAAUAAGAACACUCCAAUUUGCUGUGCUUCAUUUCCUCUUGGUGCAAACAGUAAUGCUAAUUCCUUAUACCAUUUGUACUGUCCUAGCUAGGUGUGUCCCUUUGCAUAGUCUUAGCCACUUCCCUGCCUUAUGUCUUCAUUCAACUUUCUCUUCAUUUCUUUUGCUUGGUGUCACUAUUGAUACAUGUUCAUCUAGAUGUCUUUUCUGCAGAGCUCCCAUUGCUCUCCUCUGCUCUCUACAAAUGCCACCUCUGUUCAUUUCUACUCUUUUCUCGUUGUGCUGAAGGACAAACAUCUGUUGUUACCUUGUCCCCAUUUGUCAUCUUGUUUUCUACCAGCUCGUUUCCCUCUAGAUUACACUAGAUUGCUGACAUUAUAUUGCCUCAUGUCUUCUAUAAUCCUAGAAAUGUAAUGGGGAUAAACAUCUCAAACAGUCACAUAAAUCUUUUUGAAGUUUCAUUCUUGGCUUUACUGCAAUUUGGAGAUCAUUUUAGGACCUUUGUCUCCUUUCACAGAACUUUCAUCCACCUCUUCACCACUGGAAAUAUCACAAUACCUGAACACUUCACUUCUCACAGGCUAUGGAUAAGAGUUGGAGUCUGUUUCUUAGUGAUUGAUUUCAUAUGCUCAGCUUUUCUUCAUGUCAUCUUCCAAGAGGGUGUUUUUUUUCAGUAAGUGAUUGCUGUUAUGAGUGUUGAUGGGAUUUGAGAUGAAACACAGUUUCAUGCUGGUAAUGAGAGCUGCUGGACUUGAGCCAGUAGCAGCUUUUAUUUUAAAUCAUUUUUUUAAUUUACUGAAUGUACCCAUGAAUAUGCCGCUUAUCUUGAGCAGCCUACUGUUUGGAUAACUUUUGUACAGCACCGGGUAGAGCACUGACAGCAGGUGUUCUUGACUAAUUUAUAGAUCUUAGAGGUUUUUCCUCUCUCAAGUUUUCUUGUGUUGAAGUUAAAGCAUUGCUCUUAAGUUAACAAAAAAUGUUUUUCUGGAUCUGCUUUCUAAUUUGGUAGCCUGUUCUGGUUAUUUAGCACUUUGCUAUAACAUGCUCCUCAGGAAAAGUUCGAAUGUUGUGCCAUAGGGUCACUAUAACUGCUAUAAAGAGUAAACAAAUACUAGCUGUAACAUCCCUUAUUUAGCCUUGGUGUGCGUAUAGAAAUUUAUCUUACUUGCACUAUCCCUUUCCAACACAUGUGAGGAGAUACAAAUCAAUAGGCAGUAACAGCCAGAUCAAUCCAAUGCUCAGGACAAAAUGCAGUUAUUUCAUGUGAGACUUCUACAAGUGAGGAAGUGACAUGCUCAGUCUCUACAGGUCUCAUAAAAUUAGACAUGCAUAGCCAUGAAAUGGCCUAUCUGUGCAUUUGUACUGUGCACCCCUGGCUGCAGUUGUACAUGCCACGAAAGCACUCUGGAUGGCUGGGGCAGCAUCAAGCACAUCCA
Gopherus flavomarginatus (Mexican gopher tortoise) is the source of this 7220-nucleotide long non-coding RNA. RefSeq lists it as uncharacterized. NCBI's taxonomy places the organism in Eukaryota, Metazoa, Chordata, Testudines, Testudinidae. The record is from RefSeq and is a predicted model, not a curated record. The transcript is spliced from 3 exons.